GACGAACGCUGGCGGCGUGCUUAACACAUGCAAGUCGAACGGAAAGGCCCUGCUUUUGUGGGGUGCUCGAGUGGCGAACGGGUGAGUAACACGUGAGUAACCUGCCCUUGACUUUGGGAUAACUUCAGGAAACUGGGGCUAAUAUCGGAUAUGAGCUCCUGCUGCAUGUUGGGGGUUGGAAAGUUUCGGCGGUUGGGGAUGGACUCGCGGCUUAUCAGCUUGUUGGUGGGGUAGUGGCUUACCAAGGCUUUGACGGGUAGCCGGCCUGAGAGGGUGACCGGCCACAUUGGGACUGAGAUACGGCCCAGACUCCUACGGGAGGCAGCAGUGGGGAAUAUUGCACAAUGGGCGGAAGCCUGAUGCAGAAACGCCGCGUGCGGGAUGACGGCCUUCGGGUUGUAAACCGCUUUCGCCUGUGACGAAGAGUGAGUGACGGUAAUGGGUAAAGAAGCAACGGCUAACUACGUG
RNAcentral lists this ribosomal RNA (468 nucleotides) under uncultured bacterium. Its description in RNAcentral is "partial 16S ribosomal RNA". It matches the Rfam family "Bacterial small subunit ribosomal RNA", at positions 28 to 507 of the family's 1533-position model. The record is from RNAcentral.